AUUGAACGCUGGCGGCAGGCCUAACACAUGCAAGUCGAGCGCGAAAAUUCCUUCGGGGAUGAGUAGAGCGGCGGACGGGUGAGUAAUGCGCAGAAAUCUGCCCAGUAGUGGGGGACAACCUGGUGAAAACCAGGCUAAUACCGCAUACGCCCUACGGGGAAAGCAGGGAUCUUCGGACCUUGCGCUAUUGGAUGAGUCUGCGUCGGAUUAGCUUGUUGGUGAGGUAAUGGCUCACCAAGGCGACGAUCCGUAGCUGGUCUGAGAGGAUGAUCAGCCACACUGGGACUGAGACACGGCCCAGACUCCUACGGGAGGCAGCAGUGGGGAAUAUUGGACAAUGGGCGAAAGCCUGAUCCAGCCAUGCCGCGUGUGUGAAGAAGGCUCUAGGGUUGUAAAGCACUUUCAGUGGGGAAGAAAGCUUGUUAGCUAAUAACUGACGAGUGUGACAUUACCCACAGAAGAAGCACC
This 468-nucleotide ribosomal RNA is filed under the name uncultured bacterium. RNAcentral describes it as "bacterial SSU rRNA". It matches the Rfam family "Bacterial small subunit ribosomal RNA", at positions 30 to 494 of the family's 1533-position model. The record is from RNAcentral.